UGGCGAGUGGCGGACGGGUGAGGAAUACAUCGGAAUCUACUUUUUCGUGGGGGAUAACGUAGGGAAACUUACGCUAAUACCGCAUACGACCUACGGGUGAAAGCAGGGGACCUUCGGGCCUUGCGCUAUCAGAUGAGCCUAGGUCGGAUUAGCUAGUUGGUGAGGUAAUGGCUCACCAAGGCGACGAUCCGUAACUGGUCUGAGAGGAUGAUCAGUCACACUGGAACUGAGACACGGUCCAG
This 242-nucleotide ribosomal RNA is filed under the name uncultured bacterium. Its description in RNAcentral is "partial 16S ribosomal RNA". It matches the Rfam family "Bacterial small subunit ribosomal RNA", at positions 89 to 334 of the family's 1533-position model. The record is from RNAcentral.